GUGGGGAAUAUUGGACAAUGGGGGGAACCCUGAUCCAGCCAUGCCGCGUGUGUGAAGAAGGCCUUUUGGUUGUAAAGCACUUUAAGCGAGGAGGAGGCUACCGAGAUUAAUACUCUUGGAUAGUGGACGUUACUCGCAGAAUAAGCACCGGCUAACUCUGUGCCAGCAGCUGCGGUAAUACAGAGGGUGCAAGCGUUAAUCGGAUUUACUGGGCGUAAAGCGCGCGUAGGUGGCCAAUUAAGUCAAAUGUGAAAACCCCGAGCUUAACUUGGGAAUUGCAUUCGAUACUGGUUGGCUAGAGUAUGGGAGAGGAUGGUAGAAUUCCAGGUGUAGCGGUGAAAUGCGUAGAGAUCUCGAGGAAUACCGAUGGCGAAGGCAGCCAUCUGGCCUAAUACUGACACUGAGGUGCGAAAGCAUGGGGAGCAAACAGGAUUAGAUACCCUGGUAGUCC
Molecule: ribosomal RNA, 451 nt
Filed under: uncultured bacterium
Lineage: Bacteria
Description: partial 16S ribosomal RNA
Rfam family: Bacterial small subunit ribosomal RNA
Source: RNAcentral